GGUUUGACGGUACCUAUAAAGGAAGCACCGGCUAACUCCGUGCCAGCAGCCGCGGUAAUACGGGGGGUGCAAGCGUUGUUCGGUAUUAUUGGGCGUAAAGCGCGUGUAGGCGGUCUGAUUAGUCUGAUGUGAAAGCCCUGGGCUCAACCCAGGAAGUGCAUUGGAUACUGUCAGACUUGAAUACGGGAGAGGGUAGUGGAAUUCCUAGUGUAGGAGUGAAAUCCGUAGAUAUUAGGAGGAACACCGGUGGCGAAGGCGGCUACCUGGACCGAUAUUGACGCUGAGACGCGAAAACGUGGGUAGCAAACAGGAUUAGAUACCCUGGUAGUCCACGCCGUAAACGAUGAGAACUAGGUGUCGCGGGUA
Molecule: ribosomal RNA, 366 nt
Filed under: uncultured Geobacteraceae bacterium
Lineage: Bacteria; Pseudomonadati; Thermodesulfobacteriota; Desulfuromonadia; Geobacterales; Geobacteraceae
Description: bacterial SSU rRNA
Rfam family: Bacterial small subunit ribosomal RNA
Source: RNAcentral